RNAcentral lists this ribosomal RNA (680 nucleotides) under uncultured cyanobacterium. Its description in RNAcentral is "bacterial SSU rRNA". It matches the Rfam family "Bacterial small subunit ribosomal RNA", at positions 103 to 795 of the family's 1533-position model. The record is from RNAcentral. Lineage: Bacteria; Bacillati; Cyanobacteriota.
CAGGUUGACACUUUGCGUAUUGCUGGUGGGGGAAGUCCCGGGAAUGGGUUUAAUACCGCAUGUGCUCCAAGGAGUAAAGAGGGCUUCGGCUCUUGCUUUGAGAUAGGCUCGCGUCCUAUCAGCUAGUUGGUGAGGUAACGGCUCACCAAGGCGACGACGGGUAGUUGGUCUGAGAGGACGACCAGCAACACUGGAACUGAGACACGGUCCAGACACCUACGGGUGGCAGCAGUCGAGAAUCAUUCACAAUGGGGGCAACCCUGAUGGUGCAACGCCGCGUGGAGGACGAAGGCCCUAGGGUCGUAAACUCCUGUCAUAAUAGAGUAAGGCAUACAAGUUAAGACCUUGUAUGUUUGAUAGUAUAUUAAGAGGAAGGGACGGCUAACUUCGUGCCAGCAGCCGCGGUAAUACGAAGGUCCCGAGCGUUAUUCGGAAUCACUGGGCGUAAAGGGAGCGUAGGCGGCGUGGUAAGUCAGAUGUGAAAGCCCGGGGCUCAACCCCGGAACUGCAUUCGAUACUGCCAUGCUAGAGUAGUGGAGAGGUAGAUGGAAUUUUGGGUGUAGCAGUGAAAUGCGUGGAUAUCCAAAGGAAGACUAAUGGCGAAGGCAAUCUACUGGACACUUACUGACGCUGAGGCUCGAAGGCUAGGGGAGCGAAAGGGAUUAGAUACCCCUGUAGUC